This 679-nucleotide ribosomal RNA is filed under the name Sarocladium strictum. RNAcentral describes it as "partial large subunit ribosomal RNA". It matches the Rfam family "Eukaryotic large subunit ribosomal RNA", at positions 76 to 784 of the family's 3401-position model. The record is from RNAcentral. Lineage: Eukaryota; Fungi; Ascomycota; Sordariomycetes; Hypocreales; Sarocladiaceae.
UGCCUCAGUAACGGCGAGUGAAGCGGCAACAGCUCAAAUUUGAAAUCUGGCCUCACGGUCCGAGUUGUAAUUUGUAGAGGAUGCUUUUGGCGAGGUGCUUUCCGAGUUCCCUGGAACGGGACGCCAUAGAGGGUGAGAGCCCCGUACGGUAAGACCACCGAGCCUCUGUAAAGCUCCUUCGACGAGUCGAGUAGUUUGGGAAUGCUGCUCUAAAUGGGAGGUGUACGUCUUCUAAAGCUAAAUACCGGCCAGAGACCGAUAGCGCACAAGUAGAGUGAUCGAAAGAUGAAAAGCACUUUGAAAAGAGGGUUAAAAAGUACGUGAAAUUGUUGAAAGGGAAGCAUUCAUGACCAGACUUGGGCUUGGUUGAACAUCCGGCGUUCUCGCCGGUGCACUCUGCCAGUCCAGGCCAGCAUCAGUUUGCCCCGGGGGACAAAGGCGGUGGGAAUGUGGCUCCCUUCGGGGAGUGUUAUAGCCCGCCGUGUAAUGCCCUGGGGCGGACUGAGGAACGCGCUUCGGCACGGAUGCUGGCGUAAUGGUCAUCAAUGACCCGUCUUGAAACACGGACCAAGGAGUCGUCUUCGUAUGCGAGUGUUCGGGUGUCAAACCCCUACGCGUAAUGAAAGUGAACGUAGGUGAGAGCUUCGGCGCAUCACCGACCGAUCCUGAUGUUCUCGGA